RNAcentral lists this small nucleolar RNA (219 nucleotides) under Anas zonorhyncha (Eastern spot-billed duck). Its description in RNAcentral is "Small nucleolar RNA U3 (ENSAZOG00000015474.1)". It matches the Rfam family "Small nucleolar RNA U3". From Rfam's summary of the family: Small nucleolar RNAs (snoRNAs) are involved in the processing and modification of rRNA in the nucleolus. There are two main classes of snoRNAs: the box C/D class, and the box H/ACA class. Lineage: Eukaryota; Metazoa; Chordata; Aves; Anseriformes; Anatidae. The record is from Rfam by way of RNAcentral.
AGGACUAUACUUUCAGGGAUCAUUUCUGUAGUUGGUAACUAGAGGAGUGUGAUCGAAAGUGUCCGGCGUCACAAGCCACGAGGAGGAGCUGCGUGCUGUCUCCUGAGCGCGAGGCGGGCGGGAGGGCGGCGCUGCUGCAGUGCAGGGGCCUCCCGCCAUCGAUGACCGUUCCCGACUCCUUUAUGGGGUCUGGGAGGGAGAGAGCACAGGCUGAGUGGU